Molecule: long non-coding RNA, 153 nt
Organism: Thalassophryne amazonica
Lineage: Eukaryota; Metazoa; Chordata; Actinopteri; Batrachoidiformes; Batrachoididae
Exons: 3
Source: RefSeq, a predicted model, not a curated record
CUUAGCUUAAUCUUUGUUACGUUAGGCUUAGGGUCUAUAUAACCUCUACAGAUAUUUUAUCUCCCACGCAUGCAGGAAUCACUGGUGGCUCACAUGCUAGCAUUCAGUAAUACAGUUAUUCUCGGCCUUAAAGGUUUGGUUUAUGUAUUUUAU